GACGAACCGAGCGAACGUUGUUCGGAAUCACUGGGCUUAAAGGGCGCGUAGGCGGGUCUGCAAGUCUGUGGUGAAAUCCUCCGGCUCAACCGGAGAACUGCCUCGGAUACUGCGGGUCUCGAGGGUGAUAGGGGUAUGCGGAACUAUCGGUGGAGCGGUGAAAUGCGUUGAUAUCGAUAGGAACUCCGGUGGCGAAGGCGGCAUACUGGAUCACUUCUGACGCUGAGGCGCGAAAGCCAGGGGAGCAAACGGG
RNAcentral lists this ribosomal RNA (253 nucleotides) under uncultured bacterium. RNAcentral's name for it is "partial 16S ribosomal RNA". It matches the Rfam family "Bacterial small subunit ribosomal RNA", at positions 524 to 776 of the family's 1533-position model. The record is from RNAcentral.